ACAAGUGGUAUCAAAGCUGACCCUCGCGGUUGCGUGUACAAGUCAGUGUGCGAGCAAAUGAUGCUUGGCGCGUGUGGGCUCGGAGGGGACAGAUUGCAGGGCAUAUGGUUACGGCAUUGGACGUACAGUCAUGUGCUAAGAGGCGACCUUCCUAGACAUUUUACAAAGUGUGGGUGAGUUGGACUGAUGAGGGCGUCGGGUCCUUUAAGGUGGGGAAGGGGCUGUAUGUGAGACCCAGCCCGAAUUUGGAUGACCAAGUAGUGGCCCAUCAGCGCAGGUGUGCAUGUUUAGUACCACCUUGCUAGUUGUGCAAGGGUGGAGACAACUUAUAAGCCUUUAUCCACCAGCCAUAGCACCCUCGGUUAACUCUUUUACACGAAGGGAGGACAAAAGUGUAAGUAGGGUGCUGUGUGUACGCGGGCCUGCCCCUCGGAAGGGCUAGGCAGUGCGGCUUUGGAGGUUGGGGUGUUACACCUGGAGAAGUGGAUGAAGACGCUCGUUC
Molecule: long non-coding RNA, 502 nt
Filed under: Setaria viridis
Lineage: Eukaryota; Viridiplantae; Streptophyta; Magnoliopsida; Poales; Poaceae
Description: long non-coding RNA (SVIR_LNC000478)
Source: RNAcentral